CGUGUAGGCGGGAGGGCACGUCCGUCGCUGAAAUCCCCCGGCUCAACCGGGGAACGGGCGCGGAUACGACCUUCCUGGAGGGGCGUAGGGGGACCUGGAACUUCCGGUGGAGCGGUGAAAUGCGUUGAGAUCGGAAGGAACGCCCGUGGCGAAAGCGAGGUCCUGGACGCCUACUGACGCUGAGACGCGAAAGCCAGGGGAGCGAACG
Molecule: ribosomal RNA, 208 nt
Filed under: uncultured bacterium
Lineage: Bacteria
Description: partial 16S ribosomal RNA
Rfam family: Bacterial small subunit ribosomal RNA
Source: RNAcentral